UACGGAGGGUGCGAGCGUUGUCCGGAAUCACUGGGCGUAAAGGGCGCGUAGGUGGCGCGGGCAGUCAACGGUGAAAGUUCGGGGCUCAACCCUGAAUCGGCCGUCGAUACUCCCGUGCUUGAGCACUGUAGAGGCAGAUGGAAUUCCGGGUGUAGCGGUGGAAUGCGUAGAGAUCCGGAAGAACACCCGUGGCGAAGGCGGCUCUCUGGGACGGUACUGACGCUGAGACGCGAAAGCGUGGGGAGCGAACAGG
Molecule: ribosomal RNA, 253 nt
Filed under: uncultured bacterium
Lineage: Bacteria
Description: partial 16S ribosomal RNA
Rfam family: Bacterial small subunit ribosomal RNA
Source: RNAcentral